This 79-nucleotide transfer RNA is filed under the name Klebsiella pneumoniae. RNAcentral describes it as "tRNA-Pro". Lineage: Bacteria; Pseudomonadati; Pseudomonadota; Gammaproteobacteria; Enterobacterales; Enterobacteriaceae. The record is from RNAcentral. RNAcentral also lists the same sequence under 4 other names.
AUAAUAAAUCAGUCUCAUUAGUUAAUUAACCGUCAUGGGGUGUCGGGGGGCGGAGGUUCAAAUCCUCUCGUGCCGACCA